This 103-nucleotide small nuclear RNA is filed under the name Mustela putorius furo (domestic ferret). Lineage: Eukaryota; Metazoa; Chordata; Mammalia; Carnivora; Mustelidae. The record is from RNAcentral.
GUGCUCACUUCAACAGCACAUAUACUAAAAUUGGAAGGAUACAGAGGUGAGCAUGGCCCCCCACAAGGAUGACAUGAAAAUUCAUGAAACAGUCCAUGUUUUU